RNAcentral lists this non-coding RNA (85 nucleotides) under Methylorubrum extorquens DM4. RNAcentral describes it as "glycine riboswitch". It matches the Rfam family "Glycine riboswitch aptamer". From Rfam's summary of the family: This family represents the bacterial glycine riboswitch. Glycine riboswitches usually consist of two metabolite-binding aptamers domains with similar structures in tandem. The aptamers cooperatively bind glycine to regulate the expression of downstream genes. The record is from RNAcentral. Lineage: Bacteria; Pseudomonadati; Pseudomonadota; Alphaproteobacteria; Hyphomicrobiales; Methylobacteriaceae.
ACGCGCGGGAGAGAGCCGGCUUGGACCGGCCGCCGAAGGAGCAACCGCCCCGGAAACUCUCAGGCACCCGGACCGCACGUCGUUC